CGGCAGGCCUAACACAUGCAAGUCGAGCGGAUGAAGGGAGCUUGCUCCUGGAUUCAGCGGCGGACGGGUGAGUAAUGCCUAGGAAUCUGCCUGGUAGUGGGGGAUAACGUCCGGAAACGGGCGCUAAUACCGCAUACGUCCUGAGGGAGAAAGUGGGGGAUCUUCGGACCUCACGCUAUCAGAUGAGCCUAGGUCGGAUUAGCUAGUUGGUGGGGUAAAGGCCUACCAAGGCGACGAUCCGUAACUGGUCUGAGAGGAUGAUCAGUCACACUGGAACUGAGACACGGUCCAGACUCCUACGGGAGGCAGCAGUGGGGAAUAUUGGACAAUGGGCGAAAGCCUGAUCCAGCCAUGCCGCGUGUGUGAAGAAGGUCUUCGGAUUGUAAAGCACUUUAAGUUGGGAGGAAGGGCAGUAAGUUAAUACCUUGCUGUUUUGACGUUACCAACAGAAUAAGCACCGGCUAACUUCGUGCCAGCAGCCGCGGUAAUACGAAGGGUGCAAGCGUUAAUCGGAAUUACUGGGCGUAAAGCGCGCGUAGGUGGUUCAGCAAGUUGGAUGUGAAAUCCCCGGGCUCAACCUGGGAACUGCAUCCAAAACUACUGAGCUAGAGUACGGUAGAGGGUGGUGGAAUUUCCUGUGUAGCGGUGAAAUGCGUAGAUAUAGGAAGGAACACCAGUGGCGAAGGCGACCACCUGGACUGAUACUGACACUGAGGUG
This 718-nucleotide ribosomal RNA is filed under the name Pseudomonas aeruginosa. RNAcentral's name for it is "bacterial SSU rRNA". It matches the Rfam family "Bacterial small subunit ribosomal RNA", at positions 40 to 753 of the family's 1533-position model. Lineage: Bacteria; Pseudomonadati; Pseudomonadota; Gammaproteobacteria; Pseudomonadales; Pseudomonadaceae. The record is from RNAcentral.